UGGAGCAGAAUUUCGGGAUAGUGAUGGCAUA
Molecule: non-coding RNA, 31 nt
Filed under: Homo sapiens (human)
Lineage: Eukaryota; Metazoa; Chordata; Mammalia; Primates; Hominidae
Source: RNAcentral